UCGUCACCUAAUUUGCGCAUUUUCAUUGGCCAAUCCUAACGCUGUUUCGACGCCACUAUUCAAUUGAGUUUGUAUUUGCGCCUGCUCAAGUGUAGAACUAUGGAUGUUAAUUCUACGGAGCACUGCAUAUUGCACGCGUCUUUGCCCGGGAAAGGAGAAAUGUAGAGGCAGUAUGCUCGAAUUUGAGUAGGUGUGUUUUUCUGUUAGUUUCGCGAGUAGUUCGGCCUUUCUCAGUUGCGGUUUAAUGCGUAUCCUCGUUGGCAAGUUGUUGUCUUCAAUUAAUUUGCUUCCGAUUCUGUCACAACCCAUUCAUUAACUCGGUUGGCUUCGAAGAGUCCUAUUAUGGUUGCUUUUGAUCUAUGGAGAGACAUGACAUUCUCAAACAGUAUCCAGAACACAAGAAGGUGGAUGGACCUGUGACAAAAGUGGAAGCUGCAUUGAGAAGGGUAAUGGCUGCUGGGAGAUAAAUAGCUAGCAGCUUUGGGAGAUGAACUUCUGGAACUAAUAUGGUUGCUGGGAUGACAAUGCAGUAAAAGAAAAAGGUAACCCAAUGGGCUAUUAUCUU
Molecule: long non-coding RNA, 565 nt
Organism: Andrographis paniculata
Lineage: Eukaryota; Viridiplantae; Streptophyta; Magnoliopsida; Lamiales; Acanthaceae
Exons: 3
Source: RefSeq, a predicted model, not a curated record